AAUAGAUACCCCGGUAGUCCAUGCCGUAAACGAUGUCUACUAGCCGUUGGGGCCCUUGAGGCUUUAGUGGCGCAGCUAACGCGAUAAGUAGACCGCCUGGGGAGUACGGUCGCAAGACUAAAACUCAAAUGAAUUGACGGGGGCCCGCACAAGCGGUGGAGCAUGUGGUUUAAUUCGAUGCAACGCGAAGAACCUUACCUGGCCUUGACAUACAGAGAACUUUCCAGAGAUGGAUUGGUGCCUUCGGGAACUCUGAUACAGGUGCUGCAUGGCUGUCGUCAGCUCGUGUCGUGAGAUGUUGGGUUAAGUCCCGCAACGAGCGCAACCCUUUUCCUUAUUUGCCAGCACUUCGGGUGGGAACUUUAAGGAUACUGCCAGUGACAAACUGGAGGAAGGCGGGGACGACGUCAAGUCAUCAUGGCCCUUACGGCCAGGGCUACACACGUGCUACAAUGGUCGGUACAAAGGGUUGCUACUGCGCGAGCAGAUGCUAAUCUCAAAAAGCCGAUCGUAGUCCGGAUCGCAGU
Molecule: ribosomal RNA, 527 nt
Filed under: uncultured bacterium
Lineage: Bacteria
Description: bacterial SSU rRNA
Rfam family: Bacterial small subunit ribosomal RNA
Source: RNAcentral